Molecule: ribosomal RNA, 315 nt
Filed under: Triticum aestivum (bread wheat)
Lineage: Eukaryota; Viridiplantae; Streptophyta; Magnoliopsida; Poales; Poaceae
Description: partial small subunit ribosomal RNA
Source: RNAcentral
AUGGGGGCGCAGCCGAUGUCCUCUGCUCUCCACCCCGAUCCCCCUGCCCGGGUGAAAACCUUUAUCCUCGGCGGAUUUGGCGGCGGCGGCGCCUUGCGCGUCGUGACCUUGCUGGAGGCGUCAUCAAGGGUGCGGGGCUCGGUCGGGAGGUUAUGCAGAGCAGCCGGCGAGAUAUAUCCCAAAUCGACGUGGUCAUCCUAUGUCCACCUUGCGAUGCGAGGGCGACCAUCUUCCAGCUCUAGGGUGAGCUUCUCGAAAUCCCGACGGUGCGGCGCCUACGAGCCAUGGCGAGGGGGAAGGGUCCCUCUUCGGUGA